CCCCGCCUUACCACUCGGCCAUGCCGCC
RNAcentral lists this transfer RNA (28 nucleotides) under Lonicera webbiana. RNAcentral describes it as "partial tRNA-Cys". Lineage: Eukaryota; Viridiplantae; Streptophyta; Magnoliopsida; Dipsacales; Caprifoliaceae. The record is from RNAcentral.